RNAcentral lists this unclassified non-coding RNA (337 nucleotides) under soil metagenome. Its description in RNAcentral is "partial contains 5.8S ribosomal RNA, internal transcribed spacer 2, and large subunit ribosomal RNA". The stretch from base 1 to 120 matches the Rfam family "5.8S ribosomal RNA", at positions 35 to 154 of the family's 154-position model. The record is from RNAcentral.
GAUGAAGAACGUAGCGAAAUGCGAUAAGUAGUGUGAAUUGCAGAAUUCAGUGAAUCAUCGAAUCUUUGAACGCACAUUGCGCCCCUUGGUAUUCCAUGGGGCAUGCCUGUUCGAGCGUCAUUUAUACCUUCAAGCCUUGCUUGGUGUUGGGUGUUUGUCUCGCCUCUGCGCGCAGACUCGCCUCAAAACAAUUGGCAGCCGGCGUAUUGAUUUCGGAGCGCAGUACAUCUCGCGCUUUGCACUCAGAACGACGACGUCCAAAAGUACAUUUUUACACUCUUGACCUCGGAUCAGGUAGGGAUACCCGCUGAACUUAAGCAUAUCAAUAAGCGGAGGA